AGCUCGGUGCAGUGGCAGUAUGGUAGCCAGUGAGGUUUAUCCAAGGUGCGACUAUUGCUAACUGAUAAACUGACGUCUUAAAAUUGAAACCAAAAAUAUGUACUUGUAAUUUACA
Molecule: small nuclear RNA, 115 nt
Organism: Panthera pardus (leopard)
Lineage: Eukaryota; Metazoa; Chordata; Mammalia; Carnivora; Felidae
Gene: U4
Rfam family: U4 spliceosomal RNA
About the family: U4 small nuclear RNA (U4 snRNA) is a component of the major U2-dependent spliceosome. The structure of U4 snRNA from yeast and human has been reported.
Source: Ensembl